Molecule: ribosomal RNA, 350 nt
Filed under: uncultured bacterium
Lineage: Bacteria
Description: bacterial SSU rRNA
Rfam family: Bacterial small subunit ribosomal RNA
Source: RNAcentral
AGGGAAUAUUGCGCAAUGGGGGAAACCCUGACGCAGCAAUGCCGCGUGAGUGAGGAAGGCCUUCGGGUUGUAAAGCUCUGUCGACAGGGAAAAAGGGCACUUGGGGUAAUAUUCUGGGUGUUUGAUGGUACCUGUAAAGGAAGCACCGGCUAACUUCGUGCCAGCAGCCGCGGUAAUACGAAGGGUGCAAGCGUUGUUCGGAUUUACUGGGCGUAAAGGGUGCGUAGGUGGAUUUAUAAGUCAGAUGUGAAAUCUCGGGGCCUAACCCCGAAACUGCGUCUGAAACUAUUUAUCUAGAAUCUCGGAGAGGAAAGGGGAAUUUCGCAUGUAGGAGUAAAAUCCGUAGAGAU